Molecule: ribosomal RNA, 425 nt
Filed under: uncultured eukaryote
Lineage: Eukaryota
Description: SSU rRNA
Rfam family: Eukaryotic small subunit ribosomal RNA
Source: RNAcentral
CAAUAGCGUAUAUUAAAGUUGUUGCGGUUAAAAAGCUCGUAGUUGGAUCUCGGCAGGCAGGGGGUGGUUCGCUCCUUAGCGCUACUGCCCCAUUUGCCUGUGUGAUUGGCAGAGGUUUCGGGGUGCCCUUUAUUGAGUGACCCGGAGCGCUGUCAGGUUUACUUUGAAAAAUUAGAGUGCUCAAAGCAGGCUUUUCACGCUUGAAUAUUCGUGCAUGGAAUAAUAGAAUAGGAACUCGUUUCUAUUUUGUUGGUUUUCGGAAAUCGAGUUAAUGAUUAAUAGGGACAAUUGGGGGCAUUAGUAUUCAGACGACAGAGGUGAAAUUCUUGGACCGUCUGAAGACUAACUACUGCGAAAGCAUUUGCCAAGAGUGUUUUCAUUAAUCAAGAACGAAAGUUAGAGGUUCGAAGACGAUCAGAUACCAU